RNAcentral lists this ribosomal RNA (194 nucleotides) under uncultured bacterium. Its description in RNAcentral is "partial 16S ribosomal RNA". It matches the Rfam family "Bacterial small subunit ribosomal RNA", at positions 335 to 524 of the family's 1533-position model. The record is from RNAcentral.
ACUCCUACGGGAGGCAGCAGCAACGAAUAUUGGGCAAUGGGCGAAAGCCUGACCCAGCGACGCCGCGUGCAGGAUGAAGCUCUUCGGGGUGUAAACUGCUGUCAGGAGAUAAAAAGCGUAUGGACCUAAUACGUCCAGAGUUGAUUGUCUCCAGAGGAAGCCUCGACUAACUCUGUGCCAGCAGCCGCGGUAAU